UACGUAGGGUGCAAGCGUUAAUCGGAAUUACUGGGCGUAAAGCGUGCGCAGGCGGUUAUGUAAGACAGUUGUGAAAUCCCCGGGCUCAACCUGGGAACUGCAUCUGUGACUGCAUAGCUAGAGUACGGUAGAGGCGUGUGGAAUUCCGGGUGUAGUGGUGAAAUGCGUAGAGAUCCGGAGGAACACCAGUGGCGAAGGCGACACGCUGGGCCGUACCUGACACUGAUGCGCGACAGCAUGGGGAGCAAACAGG
This 253-nucleotide ribosomal RNA is filed under the name uncultured bacterium. RNAcentral describes it as "partial 16S ribosomal RNA". It matches the Rfam family "Bacterial small subunit ribosomal RNA", at positions 524 to 776 of the family's 1533-position model. The record is from RNAcentral.